CGGAUUCAUUUCUGCUGCACCACAACAGAACUCCAAAGUUUUCCUUUCUUCGUUUUUUCUGUUUUGCGCUUGAUUUUUAGAGAAUUAUAGGUUUGAAACUAUUGUCUUUUUCUUAAACAUGGUGUGCUCCUUUUUCUUGUCCUAUUGUUCCUAUGGAUGUGUUUAAUUUGAAAAAGAUUUCAGAAGAAUAAUGCUUUCUGUGUACCUAUACCAAUCAUGAAAAGGAAAGCUCAAUCUUGUUUUUCUGAAAAGAUGGAGCAAGUGAUGAAUAAGCGAAACAUAACAGUCAUUACAGAAACCACUUGUGAUUUCAGGCCGUAGCUUCUAGGAGGCCGCUCUCAGCUACAUGUCCUUUUCUCUGGGUAGUUGGCUUUGGUAAGGGAGCCUCUGGGUGAGACCUUGGGCUUGUGGACAGUCCUUUCUCUGAGUGUCUCUUGCAGGGCGUGGUACCAGGCCUUGGGAGCACAAAGGUAAGUAAGAUGUGUCCCUGCUCACAGAGGUCAUCACCAAAAGGAGGGAACAGAUGGGAAUAAAAAUCACUAAAAUACAGUCUGAAAAGAACUGGUCGAAGCAGGAAUGACAGACAGACAAACUGACAGACCAGAGUGAGAAGCCUACAGCUCCGAUUGGACCCCUAGCCCUAAAGUGCGGCCCUAAAAAGCCAAAAAAAAAAAAAAAAAAGGCUUUUUUCUUCAGAAUGCUUAGUAGUUGAUUUUGUAGCCUAAACUUUCUAGACUGGUGCAGUAGGGAAAGGAACCAGGAAAGGUAGGGGCUGGGCUUGAUUGAAUUGUUCACCCAUUUGCUGAUGGAGCCAGAAAAAAACCCAUAACAGCAGAUGUACAAAUUUUCAUCUGUAAUAUUUAUUUAAAACAGGUAUGUCUGAGAGUAUAUGCUUGGGUAAAUUAUAUAUUGAAUUCUACUGCUUAGUAUGAUUGUGUUCAACUAGAUGCAUUUAGUAUUAACUGUGAGAUAUGCUGCAGCAAUAAUAAGAAAUGCAGUGGGUGCCUUUCUGCUGUUAUCAAAAUCCAUUAGCAAGUUUUGCUGUGCUUGACUGCUCUCCAUUGUUAGGCUUUAUGGUUCAGACUAAAGCUGUAGAUGUAAAUGACAUCCUUUCUACAACACUUUCUCAAGGUCUCACAGACAAUGAUGUUGUAUUUUGAGCAAACAUUUGUUUACUCCAUAGUAAUAGUUGAUGCUAGACAGCUAUGGUUUGCUUUAGUUCUGCCCCUCUGUUUUAUGUAGGAUUUUAGCCAGGUAGAGAAAAGUAGUUGAUAGUAUUCUUUUUUCUUUCUUUCUUUCCCUUUUUUUUUUUUUUUUGGACCACACGCACAGCAUAAAGAAGUUGCUGGGCCAGGAAUUGAUCCCGUGCUACAGUUGUGACCUGUGCUGCAACUGCAGCCACGUUGGAUCUUUAACCUGCUGCACCACAUGGGUGUUGGCAGUGUUCUUGAGAUUCUCGAAACUACAGUGACUCCUGACACCCACUCUUCUUUAUUGCUUUAGCUACAGAGAGACAAGAGCUCAGGCCCAGGGAUAACCUUUGGUGUAGAAGAUCCUGUGAAAAGUGGGUAAAGCUGAUUCUUAAGCCACUAAAGCCAAGAAACAAACAAGCAAACCAAAAUUUAGUUUUUGGAGUAGGAGUUUAAAUGUAGGAAAUCUUCUCUUUGCAAGGUGCAAGAUGUUAUGUCAUGAUGUUGAGUGUUUAUUGGUUUUUGUUUGCUUUUUUAAGGGUUGAGAUCUUUUAAGAAUUUUAGAAUCUUCAUUUCUUUAGCUAUUUAAAAAUUUUUUAUUCUUUUGCUUUUUUAGGGCCUCACCUGCAGCAUAUGGAAGCUCCUAGGCUAGGGGUUGAAUCAGAGCUAUAGCUGCCAGUCUGUGUGCUACAGCCACAGCAAUGCAGGAUCCAAGCCAUGUUUGUGACCUUUACCAUAGCUCAUGGCAACGGCUAGAUCCCUGACCCACUGUGUGAAGCUAGGGAUCGAACCCAAAUCCUCAUGGAUACUAGUUGGAUUUGUUUCUGCAGCACCACAAUGGGAACUCCUCUUUAGCUAUUUAAAGAUUUGGAAUAAAGAUUUAGAAACUUUUGGAGUUCCCAUCGUGGCACAGUGAAUAUGAAUCCGACCAGAAACCAUGAGGUUACCGGUUCCAUCCCUGGCUUCACUCAGUGGGUUAAGGAUCCGGCAUUGUCCCGAGCUGUGGUGUAGGUUGCAGAUGCAGCUCGGAUCCCUCGUUGCUGUGGCUGUGGUGUAGGCUGGCAGCUAUAUCUGUGAUUAGACCCUUAGCCUGGGAACCUCUGUAUGCUGUGAGUGCGGCCCUAAAAAGACAAAAAAAAAAAAAAAGAUUUAGAAACUUUUUUUGGGGGGGGGCAGUAGCAGAUCACUUUAUUAAUCGGAGGAAAACUGUGCACUGCCUUUCCAGAAAAAGACAUGCAUACAUUCACUCAACAAGUUUAUUCAGCAGGUGUAUCAAAUGACUACUACCAGACAUAUUUAAAGAUGUUCAGAAUAUAUCAGUGAACAAAAUAGAAAAAAGAACCCCAGUCCUCCAAAACCUUGUCCCUUGUGGCACUUACAUUUUAGUGGAGUCAGCAAGCACUAAACAUAGUAAGUAGGAACAUUGUGCAGUGUAUGAGGAUGUGGUAAGCGCUGUGGAAAAAAUACGAUACAGAAGGGAAGCCUGGUGGUUGUUGCAGUUUAAACAGAAGUUCAGGAUAGGCCUGAUAGGAUGAUAUUUGAGCAAAAGGUUCUAGGUGGUGCUCAAAUUAGUCAUUUGGAGUUCUGGGCUUUGAGCAUGCCAGGCAGAGGGUGGGAGCAAGGAAAACAGCAUGGUUGGAGCCGGACAACAAGGAGAAGGGUGGGUGUUAGUUUUCUGGGGUUGCUGGGUGACUCAGAUCGACAGAAAUGUAUUCUAGGCCAGGAGUCUGAAGCAAAGGUGUGGGCAGAGUUGGUCCCUUCUGGAGGCUGAGUAGUAUUCAUCCCCUGCUUCUCUCCUAGCUUCUGGUGGCUGCCAGCAUCCCUGGGCUUACAGACCAUCACUCCAGUCUCUGCCUCUGGGUUUACUUCUCUGUCUCAUCUCUCUGUACAUGUCAUCAGUUUUAGGACCCACCCCAAAUCCAGGAUGAUCUCAUCUUAAAAUCCUUAGCAGUUGGGAGUUCCCGUCGUGGCUCAGUGGUUAACGAAUCCAACUAGGAACCAUGAGGUUGUGGGUUUGAUCUCUGGCCUCGCUCAGUGGGUUAAGGAUCUGGCAUUGCUGUGAGCUGUGGUGUGGGUCGCAGAUGCAGCUCGGAUCCUGCGUUGCUGUGGCUCUGGUGUAGGCUGAUGGCUACAGCUCUGAUUAGACCCCUAGCCUGGGAACCUCCACGUGCUGUGGGAGCGGCUUGAGAAAAGGCAAAAAGACCAAAAAAAAAAAAAAAAAAAAAAAA
Molecule: long non-coding RNA, 3418 nt
Filed under: Sus scrofa (pig)
Lineage: Eukaryota; Metazoa; Chordata; Mammalia; Artiodactyla; Suidae
Description: lncRNA (ENSSSCG00055025695.1)
Source: RNAcentral